CAAUAGCGUAUAUUAAAGUUGUUGCGGUUAAAAAGCUCGUAGUUGGAUUUCUGCUGAGAACGACCGGUCCGCCCUCUGGGUGUGUAUCUGGCUCUUUCUUGGCAUCUUCUUGGUGAACGUUGCUGCACUUGACUGUGUGGAGCGCUACCCAGGACUUUUACUUUGAGGAAAUUAGAGUGUUUCAAGCAGGCAUACGCCUUGAAUACAUUAGCAUGGAAUAAUAAGAUAGGACCUCGGUUCUAUUUUGUUGGUUUCUAGAGCUGAGGUAAUGAUUAAUAGGGAUAGUUGGGGGCAUUCGUAUUUAACUGUCAGAGGCGAAAUUCUUGGAUUUGUUAAAGACAGACUACUGCGAAAGCAUUUGCCAAGGAUGUUUUCAUUG
RNAcentral lists this ribosomal RNA (379 nucleotides) under uncultured eukaryote. RNAcentral's name for it is "partial 18S ribosomal RNA". It matches the Rfam family "Eukaryotic small subunit ribosomal RNA", at positions 592 to 975 of the family's 1831-position model. The record is from RNAcentral.